This 403-nucleotide ribosomal RNA is filed under the name uncultured bacterium. RNAcentral's name for it is "bacterial SSU rRNA". It matches the Rfam family "Bacterial small subunit ribosomal RNA", at positions 355 to 775 of the family's 1533-position model. The record is from RNAcentral.
UGGGGAAUAUUGGACAAUGGGCGAAAGCCUGAUCCAGCAAUGCCGCGUGUGUGAAGAAGGUCUUCGGAUUGUAAAGCACUUUCGACAGGGACGAUGAUGACGGUACCUGUAGAAGAAGCCCCGGCUAACUUCGUGCCAGCAGCCGCGGUAAUACGAAGGGGGCUAGCGUUGCUCGGAAUGACUGGGCGUAAAGGGCGCGUAGGCGGAUGGCACAGUCAGAUGUGAAAUUCCCGGGCUUAACCUGGGGGCUGCAUUUGAUACGUGUUGUCUAGAGUGAGGAAGAGGGUCGUGGAAUUCCCAGUGUAGAGGUGAAAUUCGUAGAUAUUGGGAAGAACACCGGUGGCGAAGGCGGCGACCUGGUCCUUGACUGACGCUGAGGCGCGAAAGCGUGGGGAGCAAACAG